RNAcentral lists this ribosomal RNA (601 nucleotides) under Shewanella marinintestina. Its description in RNAcentral is "bacterial SSU rRNA". It matches the Rfam family "Bacterial small subunit ribosomal RNA", at positions 82 to 679 of the family's 1533-position model. Lineage: Bacteria; Pseudomonadati; Pseudomonadota; Gammaproteobacteria; Alteromonadales; Shewanellaceae. The record is from RNAcentral.
CCUGAGGUGACGAGCGGCGGACGGGUGAGUAAUGCCUAGGUAUCUGCCCAGUCGAGGGGGAUAACAGUUGGAAACGACUGCUAAUACCGCAUACGCCCUACGGGGGAAAGGAGGGGACCUUCGGGCCUUCCGCGAUUGGAUGAACCUAGGUGGGAUUAGCUAGUUGGUGAGGUAAUGGCUCACCAAGGCGACGAUCCCUAGCUGGUCUGAGAGGAUGAUCAGCCACACUGGAACUGAGACACGGUCCAGACUCCUACGGGAGGCAGCAGUGGGGAAUAUUGCACAAUGGGCGAAAGCCUGAUGCAGCCAUGCCGCGUGUGUGAAGAAGGCCUUCGGGUUGUAAAGCACUUUCAGCGAGGAGGAAAGGUUAAGUCUUAAUACGGCUUAGCUGUGACGUUACUCGCAGAAGAAGCACCGGCUAACUUCGUGCCAGCAGCCGCGGUAAUACGAGGGGUGCAAGCGUUAAUCGGAAUUACUGGGCGUAAAGCGUACGCAGGCGGUUUGUUAAGCAAGAUGUGAAAGCCCCGGGCUCAACCUGGGAACUGCAUUUUGAACUGGCAAACUAGAGUCUUGUAGAGGGGGGUAGAAUUUCAGGUGUAGC